This is a small nucleolar RNA of Struthio camelus australis, 85 nucleotides long. The record is from Ensembl. Lineage: Eukaryota; Metazoa; Chordata; Aves; Struthioniformes; Struthionidae.
UGCAUCUGUGAUGAAAAUUUGGCUCCCUCUACUGAAACAAGUGAGGAGAACUGCCUGAGUUGUUACCCAAAUCUUCUGAGAUGUU